Molecule: small nuclear RNA, 165 nt
Organism: Ctenopharyngodon idella (grass carp)
Lineage: Eukaryota; Metazoa; Chordata; Actinopteri; Cypriniformes; Xenocyprididae
Product: U1 spliceosomal RNA
Exons: 1
Source: RefSeq, a predicted model, not a curated record
AUACUUAUUUGGCAGGGGAGACACCAUGAUCAGCCAGGUUCAGGUUCAGCCAGGGCGAGGCUCUGCCAUUGCACUCUGGCUGUGCUGAUCCCGGCGAAUUCCCCAAAUGUGGGAAUCUUGACUGCAUAAUUCAUGGUAGGGGUACUGCGUUCAUGCUCUCCCCUG